UUGAAAGGGAAACGAUUGAAGUCAGUCGUACCAGCGGGAAAUCAACCUUUCGCGUGGGGGUUUUGGAGUUUUGAAGAGUUUCAAAACCUUUGAGAUUUCAAAAUUUUCGCUCCUUUGGUGUACUUUCUCGUGGGUAGGUUAACAUCGAUUUCGAUCAUCAUAAAAGGAUUGGAGGAAUGUAGCUUCGAUCUUGUAUUGAAGUGUUAUAGCCUUUGGUAAAUGUGAUGAUUGGGAUCGAGGAUUGCAACGAAUACCCUUUUGGGCUAUCCGCCUGAUCUCUGAUACGUGGCCUUGGCAUCGAAAGCUUGCUUAUGGUAUCAAGGUAUUACGGUCAAAAGGUUAGAACGGAUUACAUUCGUUAAGGAUGUUGACGUA
Molecule: ribosomal RNA, 375 nt
Filed under: uncultured Glomeromycotina
Lineage: Eukaryota; Fungi; Glomeromycota
Description: LSU rRNA
Source: RNAcentral